GGGGGAGUGAGAAGCCUGUGGGCCAUGGAGCUCUGGGAAGCUUCCAGAACAUCAGGCUUGAGCCGCCCUGGCCACAUUCAUGUGUUCCACUGCCACGUGUGCCAGUGACUACUGUCGGGAUGUGCCAGGUCUAGGACAUUCCCACCGCUGCGGAAAACUGCGCUGCUUCUCCUGUGGCUGCUUCUGCCACGUGGCCUUGAAGGAAACCCACGCUCCAGGGAGGCUGGGCAUUGCCUGCCCCUGGACCCCAGUCGGAGUCCCCCCUGGUGGCUGCCUGGGCCUCAGCCACGGCCCCUGAGCAGCUUCCAGCAUCCCGAAGGCUCUGCCCCAGGUCCGAGGCCAUUCCACGGUCGCUCCCUGCUUCCUCUCCUCCUCCGCUCCCCUUGCUUGUGUCCUUGGCAAUGCCCUGCCCCAGUUUCUGCCCCAGAGCCGCUGGCCAGAAAUGGCUGAGGUUCGUAGCUGGAGGAAGUGGGCCUGGGCUGACGAGGUGGCACCACUUUGUCCUGGAACAUCCCGCCCCUUGGCCUGGGUUCCGCUUGGGAAACAGGCGAGGUUCGAAAGGUGAGUUUUUAGAAUUGUCCAAUGGCAAGCUGUGACAGUUGUGUGUACCCUGGAGCUCAUCCCACCGUGGAAAACUCUGGGAAUGUCUGUCUCCACAGUCCUCGGCAAGCGGCCCCAAUAGUGGCAUUGUUUCAAGCUUUUGGAAUAUUGUUUUUGGGAAAUAAAGUGACUCCUGCUCAUUUAGCUGUGCCAACUCACUUGUUUGUCUUAUUCUUUUUGCUCAGCAGGUGGCAUUUUUGUUCAGUGAUUUUAUUUGUAUCCGCCCGUGUUCAUCAACUAUGACAUAUUAAUCAUGCAAAUUAGGAUAUGAUUAAUGAAGGAAAAAUUAAUUCCGCCACUGCAUCUGGGUCUGCUGUGACAGCUUAGUGAAUGCCCUCAUUCUCUGAUGCCAUCAGCAACUUCUCCAGGGCCGCUGCCGAUUGAUAUAUUAAUGUUUAGGGUAAAGGUUAGGGACCGAAGCCCAGAGAGACUUUCCUCUCCAGGGCUGGUGUUACAAGCACAUAUUUGCCUGACAGUGCACAUUUUUGAGACAGCGUGUUGCUAAACCCCGUCCUCCUUCCCACUGUGUGAACAGUUUGUAGGAGGAGGGAGUUCGCUCUGUCUUUCGGUGUCUUCUAGACUGAAGCCCACUGUGUCCAGGGCAAGCUCCCCGACCAACUCUGACUCUUGCUGUUUCCAAGGUCCCAGCUUCUUGUUUUCCAGAUGCUAUUUGCAGACCACGCAGUGACCCAUUCGUCCUUGGUAAGUGCUCCUUCUCCUCAGGACUCUGCUCUGGAAACAUGAGCUAGGGCUGCAAUAAGUUUAUCUUCAUGAUACAGAGUCCUGCAGAUAAUUUAAAUGAGUGCCCCACAUCAUUUUCUCCCAUUGCCCUCUGGUUAACCCUGAUUUCCACCCCGCACCCGGAGCUGAGCCGUGAUCUGCUUAUUCCUAUCUGCUUUCACUCAUGUGCUCCGGUAAGUCAGGUCCACAAACAGAAUGUUUUCUUGGAACUUGGAUAACCUUGCCCUGUGCACCAUGGGAACACCCCCUGGGAGAGAUUGUGCCAUUCCGGAGACUCCCUAGGUCACACUACCUCUGUCAGAGGACUUGGCUGGACCUGAGAGAGCGAGUGGGCAGUGGAGGUAGGAUACAAGGUGCUCCAUCAGGGAGGGGACCAGGAGGACAUGUGGUCACCAGAGACCAUGGAAUCGCAGCCUGUGUUCACGUUGGGUCGACUGUGGAUCCAAGCCUGUCCAGGGAUUGCAAUUUACCUCUGCCCCACCCUGAGGCCAUGGAACGGAGAGGCACAAGACCGGCAGCUGAGAGUUUGCUAAGCCACCUGCCUUCUGGAGUCUCUUCACCUUUCUUUUGUUUGUUUUGUUUUUGUUUUUUUUGAGAUGGAGUCUCACUCUGUCACGUGGGCUGGAGUGCAGUGUCAUGAUCUCGGCUCACCUCAGCCUCCACCUCCCAGGUUCUAGCGAUUCUCUGCCUCAGCCUCCUGAGUAGCUGGGACUACAGGCCUGUGCCACCAUGCCCAGCUAAUUUUUGUAUUUUUAGUAGGUUUCACCAUGUUGGUCAGGCUGGUCUUGAACGCCUGACCUCAAGUGAUCUACCUGCCUCGGCCUCCAAAAAUGCUGGGAUUACAGGUGUGAGCCACCAAGCCCAGCUUCUUCACCCUCCUUUUGAUAUUUUUGUGACUUCUGUUGCUGAGAUGCUCUGAGCCUGGGUCCCCACCUUUUGACUUCCCUCUUGUAUAGAUUCAUCCUAAUUCUUUCUUUCCCACUAGCAUCCCACCCCUUCCCUCCCAUGCCUAUUUAUCCUGUGCCAUCUGCCUUCCAGUGCCCCAGGGCAGGUGGUGGAGAGAGAUGGAUUGCAAACAAGAGACCUAACCCCAGUCCAGGAGAGGGAGAGGAUGCUGGGAGCUUGUCAUGGGAGCCACAAAGCACCACAGACCAGCAGGUUAAACAACAGGAUGGACAGCCCCACAGUUCUGGAGGCUGGAAGUCCGAGACCAGGUCAAGAUCCUCAGUGUUGACUCCUUUGGAGGCAGUGAGGGGGAAUUGGCCCCAGGCCUCUCUCCCUGGUGGGCUGCUGACCAUCUUUGGCCCCUUGGCUUAGCGAUGGCCUUUUUCCUGUGUCUUGUUCUUGGUCUUCCCUCCAUAUGCACCCUUUUCUCUCCACAGGGUAUUCUUUUCAUAAGGAGCAGUCAGAUUAGGGGAUGCAUUCCUCCAGGAUGACCCUUCUUAGCUAAUUACACCUGCAUGGCCCUAUUUCCAAGUAAAGUCACCUUCUGAGGUGCUGGAGGCCAGGGCUUCAUCAUAGGAAUGUGGAGAGGAGGAGACACCAUUCAGCCCCAAACAGGGCAAAGGUCGAACAAGGGGAGAGCAGCUGGUGACAGGAGCCCUUGGGCUCUGACAGCUCCCAUUCCGCCCACCUGUAAGGGGCUCCUUCCAUUGUGGGGUUGCGACUCUUAUGGCAGCCCUUCCUCCUGCUGGAGAAAACUGUACUGAUGGGUCUGCGGGGUCUCUGACUCAGGACACCUCCAUGCUGCACUUCUUUAUUGUUUGUUUGUUUGUUUGUUUGAGAUGGAGUCUCGCUGUGUCACCCAGCCUGGAGUGCAGUGGCAGGAUCUCGGCUCACUGCAACCUCCACCUCCUGGGCUUAAGUGAUCCUCCUGCCUCAGCCUCCCAAGUAGCUGGGAUUACAGGCACCCACCAACAUGCCCGAAUAAUUUUUGUAUUUUUAGUAAAAACAGGGUUUCACCAUGUUGGCCAGGCUGGUCUUGAACUCGUGACCUCAGGUGAUCUGCCCACCGUGGCCUCCCAAAGUGCUGGGAUUACAGGUGUGAGCCACCGCACCUGGCCACCUCUCUGCUGUACUUCUAAGGAGCUGGAAGGCUGGGUAAGGGUGGCCCCAGCCGCUACCCCCUCCCUGGAGGGUUUUGAGACCCUGAAAGACACAGGCCGUGGCUGUGCAAUGGAAAGAAACCAUGUCACAGUCAUCUUACCUUCGUUACCUGAGAAAAGCCUACAUCAGCGACUGUUCUCUCUUGGGUGCAAAUAGAAGAAAUACAACCUAAUUCAUGUUGGUAGCAGGGGAAAUUUAUUGGAAAAUUGAUGCAACUCCAGGGAAGGCAGGGACACAGCUGCCUCCAGGAACAGCAGGGCCUCCCUUCCCCUCCCUGUCCUUGCUGUCCCAGAGGUGGCUGGGGGAAUCUUUAAGGAAUCUUGAAUCUUGAGGUUGAGUUCCUUCCAUGUUCUUUAGGAUAGAGACUGGAACAGCGCCCAAUUAUCCCCUGGGUGUUAGAACAACAGCCCAACACUACUGCACCCGUCCUGAGUGGAGGGAACCUCUCCUGGGUUUCCUCACAUUCUCCUCAGCACCCGGGCGACACUGAACCACGGGGCUCCCAGGGCCCUUUACUCACUGUCUUUCAGGUUACUGCCAGGACAUUUCAGCUGCUGUGGACGUGGAAGGAAAACGUGUCACUGGGGAAUGAGAGGUGACCCGGCCACUUCUGGCUGAGUGAAUUAGGGCAAGAUGCAUCCCCUUCGACCCCUGGAGAGUCAAGCUUGAAGGUCUUGCAGGGUUUGUGGGUGGGUUAAAACCAUGUAACACCUGGUAUGGGCUGAAUCGCAUCUCCUCAAAUCUGUCUGUGGAAAUCCUAAUCCCCAGGACCUCAGAAUGUAUUUGGAGAUGGGGUCUUCCAAGAGGCGACUGAGUUAAGUUGGGGUCAUAUGCGUGGACCUUAGUGCAAUAUGCAAAGGGCAGGUUAGACACAGACACACGCAGUGGGAAGACCUGUGAGGAUGCAGGGAGAGGAUGCCAUCUACCAGCUGAAGAAGGAGGGGAUGGGGUUUGACUGUGUCACCACCCAAAUCUCACCUUGAAUUGUAAUAAUCUCCAUGCGUCAAGGUUGGGGCCAGGUGGAGAUGACUGAAUCAUGGGGCUGCUUCACCCAUGCUGUUCUCAUGGUAGUGAAUCAGUCUCUCGAGAUCUGAUGGUUUUAUAAAGGGGAGUUCCCCCGGCACAAGCUCUCUUGCCUACCACCAUGGAAGACGUGUCUUUGCCCCUCGUUCACCUUCUGCCAUGAUUGUGAGGCCUUCCCAGACAUGUGGAACGGUGAGUCCAUUAAACCUCUUUCUUUUAUAAAUUACCCAGUCUCAAGAAUGUCUUUAUUAGCAGCAUGAAAACCGACUGAUGAAUACAGGAGGCCUCAGAGGGCAGCAACCCUGCUAGACUUGGUCUUGAACUUCCAGCCUCCAGAACAUGAGAGAAUGAACUUCUUGUGUGAGUCCCCAGUCUGUGGGACGUUGUUAUGGAGGCUGAGCUGAUGUGUGCGACCCCUGAAGCCCUAUCCUCACCCUGUGAAGCACACGGCAGGCUCGGGAGAUGUCCAUAGUGGGCCAGCCAUCCUCACGGAGCACCGGCACCUUGGGCAUGGACACUGUGUCCCUGCUAUAUCAGGUCUGCGAGAGACCCAGAGCAGCUGGGCUCAGUGUCUCCAGCCUCGUUGCUCACCACCUCUUCCAACCCUGGGCUCUGGUCAGAUUUGUCGUCCUGGCCUAGUUUCAAUCAUGUCCCCUCAGAGAAGCUGCCCCAUGCACAGGGUCUCCAGAGCCAGGUGAGAUGCCCUCAGGGACGCACAUUCUCCCUAUGCCCACAGUUCUGAGGCCUCACUGUGUGUUUCUUUUCUUUUCUGGUCUGUCUUCCCACUAUGCGAGAAGCUGCCUGAAGGCAGGAACCUUCCCGACUGUCCUGCCUGUAGGGUCCCCCACAAAGAGGGCCCCUGGCAGGUAAGAGGGUCUGGGACGUGCUUAUGGAUGGACACAGAGCCCAGGCAGCACCGGGUGUCCAGCCCUGAGCUGAGGACAUCUGGGGCCCUGGACUGCCAGUCACUUUUCUGGGUCUUUGAUCCCUUCAUCGGGAAACACGGAGUUCUUGGGGAGCUCUGUGAGGCCCCAUGGGACAGAGACAUUGAUGUCAUAAGGCAGCACAUGCUGCUGAGCUGUGAGGGUGAGCAGGUGAAUAGCACCCGGGCCAGCCUGCGGGACAGCCCCAGCAUGGGGCAGUCCCAACGUGGCCCUGAGGACAGGGGACCACUGAGGAGAUGGAGAGGAAGGGCCCCUGUCCGGGAGCCUCACCCCAGAUUGGAGCUGGGCCUGGGAAGGUGUCCUGAGCCCCUCAGCCCCUCGCUGGGUGGCUCAGGAACUCACUGCUCAUCUCUGGUUUCUGAGCAGUUUACAGAGAAUUGCUAAUGGGUUUAUGAAUCAUGGGAAACAGAGAAUGCUUUUUUAUUUUUCUGCUACUGACCUCUCAAAAGAAAUUUCCAGAUGCCUCAUAUAAGUCAAUUCCAUAUAAUCGAG
RNAcentral lists this long non-coding RNA (5906 nucleotides) under Homo sapiens (human). RNAcentral describes it as "non-protein coding lnc-CNPY1-6:3". The record is from RNAcentral. Lineage: Eukaryota; Metazoa; Chordata; Mammalia; Primates; Hominidae.